ACUAAAAUUAUUGAAAAUACACACUACCAACACGUAAAUUUUCGAUCAUCGAGAACCAGAAGCUUCACCUGGAAAGGCCAUCAAAAGGGAAAGGUGGAGGUGACGGUGCAUGGCGGAGGUAUAAAGCCUCGCUGGGUGAAGGAAGCUGCAGUCCAUCUUACGGCGUGACCACAUCUGCCGACAUGUUCUCUGCGGUAAGUGGCUGCUGCUGUGCUUCAUAACCUGCCGGCUCACAUGAUCAGCUCUCCUGCAGCGGCUCUCCGCCAUGAGCGGGUAACCCACCCCACGUGUGCCCGUCACGGCGUCACGACUCUCAAGUUAUUCUUGGCCUUGUUCCCUACAGGUGCUGAAGGUGUGUCUGCUGGCAGCUGCUGCCCUAGCUCUGCCCGGUGGCUUUGGGGGCGGCUUUGGCGGUGGCUUUGGCGGCGGAUAUGGCGGCGGCGGCGGCGGCGGUCAUGGUGGUGGCGGCGGCGGCGGGUUUGGUGGUGGAUAUGGAGGUGGCGGCGGUGGCGGCGGCGGCGGCGGCGGUUACGGGGGUGGCUAUGGAGGCGGUAUUGCAGUACCCAUCCCUUACAACUUCGACUACGGCGUCUCAGCGGGCAGCACCAACUUUGGCCACAGCGAGAGCGGUGACGGUCGCGGCAACGCCCACGGCGGCUACUGGGUUAACCUGCCCGACGGUCGUGUGCAGAAAGUUGACUACUGGGCUGACGGCAGCGGCUACCACCCGGUGGUGACCUACCAGGGCACCGCCGUCUUCCCCGCCGGCAAGGGCCGCUACGGAUACCACUGAGAGGGCCAUGGAUCCACUACCAGAGCCGCGGGACUGACAGGGAGCCGCUGUAUCUUGAUUUACUUAUCCUUGUGUUAAGAAUUUGUUUAUUAAAUGGCUGCAGGCGAAGCUGUCUCUUCA
Long non-coding RNA from Scylla paramamosain (green mud crab), 913 nucleotides. RefSeq lists it as uncharacterized. The record is from RefSeq and is a predicted model, not a curated record. Lineage: Eukaryota; Metazoa; Arthropoda; Malacostraca; Decapoda; Portunidae. The transcript has 2 exons.